RNAcentral lists this unclassified non-coding RNA (434 nucleotides) under Hevea brasiliensis (rubber tree). The record is from RNAcentral. Lineage: Eukaryota; Viridiplantae; Streptophyta; Magnoliopsida; Malpighiales; Euphorbiaceae.
CUAUUGGCAUGCCAACCUAUCCAUACUAGUCAACUAGGCAAAUUAGGGCACAUUAUAAAUUAAUUGUUUAAUUCUUCAAUUUUUGGAGUUUACUAACUAUUAUAUAAUUCACAAGUCAAUGCAUAUGUUGACCUUUUUAGGUAAUAUGGAUAAGUUGUUUCUAGCAUCAAUAUGUCACAAUUUAUAUCUCAAUAUGCUGCCAAUAUAGUGCAAUUUACCAUUUUUACAAGUUGGCAUUCAUUGCCAAAAUGCUUCAAGCAUCAUUGUAUGCAAAAUGUCAAAUUCUCAAUUUUUGUGUGCUAGAUUGGUCUAGCUUAUAGUCCUAUUUCCCUUGGUUUUUAGCUUCUGGUCAAAGAAGCAAAAUUGUAGCUCUGUCUUAUUGCACGUGGGGCAAAAUUUUAGGUCAUUCUAAGUUGUGUAGACCAAGAUAUGGU